RNAcentral lists this ribosomal RNA (424 nucleotides) under uncultured bacterium. RNAcentral's name for it is "bacterial SSU rRNA". It matches the Rfam family "Bacterial small subunit ribosomal RNA", at positions 355 to 776 of the family's 1533-position model. The record is from RNAcentral.
UGAGGAAUAUUGGUCAAUGGACGCAAGUCUGAACCAGCCAUGCCGCGUGAAGGAUGAAGGCGUUCUGCGUUGUAAACUUCUUUUAUCUGGGAAGAAACCUGAGUAUUCUUAUUCAGCCGACGGUACCAGAGGAAUAAGCACCGGCUAACUCCGUGCCAGCAGCCGCGGUAAUACGGAGGGUGCAAGCGUUAUCCGGAUUUACUGGGUUUAAAGGGUGUGUAGGCGGACUUUUAAGUCCGUGGUGAAAUCUCCGGGCUCAACCCGGAAACUGCCAUGGAUACUAUUGGUCUUGAAUGUUGUGGAGGUGGGCGGAACGGGUCAUGUAGCGGUGAAAUGCUUAGAGAUGACCCGGAACACCGAUUGCGAAGGCAGCCCACUACGCAACUAUUGACGCUGAGGCACGAAAGCGUGGGGAUCAAACAGG